ACAUGGCACUUAAUGCUGUGGUCUAGUUGACAAGGUGGCGAUGGGUCAAAGAUUGGACUCUGUGACCUUGGAGGUCUUUUCCAACCUUAAUGAUCCUGUGAUUUUAUAACUUAUACAGG
Molecule: long non-coding RNA, 119 nt
Organism: Empidonax traillii (willow flycatcher)
Lineage: Eukaryota; Metazoa; Chordata; Aves; Passeriformes; Tyrannidae
Exons: 3
Source: RefSeq, a predicted model, not a curated record